UUUGAAGGCUCUUUCAAACUCUUCAAUCGAUAAGUCUAAGAAUAAGUCAUGGGAAGAAAGUAAAUUAUUUGAAGUUGUCAAAAAAUCAUUAAAGGAAAUAUUUGUAGAUGGAAUCCUAUCAGCCAACCUACUUCCGAUAUCAGUUAUUUCGGAAACGGGAAAAUUCGCAUCGUACACCGAGAAGAAUGUAUUAAAGAACUUAUUAUAGAUUACAUUUAUGUCUUCAUUAAAAUUUAUAUGCUU
Hydra vulgaris (swiftwater hydra) is the source of this 243-nucleotide non-coding RNA. NCBI's taxonomy places the organism in Eukaryota, Metazoa, Cnidaria, Hydrozoa, Anthoathecata, Hydridae. The record is from RefSeq and is a predicted model, not a curated record.